CAGCCGCCGCGGUAAUACGAAGGGGGCUAGCGUUGUUCGGAAUUACUGGGCGUAAAGGGCGCGUAGGCGGCCAUUCAAGUUAGACGUGAAAGCCCUGGGCUCAACCUAGGAAUUGCAUUUGAUACUGUUUGGCUUGAGUACGGGAGAGGUGAGUGGAAUUCCCAGUGUAGAGGUGAAAUUCGUAGAUAUUGGGAAGAACACCAGUGGCGAAGGCGGCUCACUGGACCGACACUGACGCUGAGGCGCGAAAGCGUGGGGAGCAAACAGGAUUAGAUACCCCUGUAGUCCCUGUCUCUUAUAC
This 301-nucleotide ribosomal RNA is filed under the name uncultured bacterium. RNAcentral describes it as "partial 16S ribosomal RNA". It matches the Rfam family "Bacterial small subunit ribosomal RNA", at positions 509 to 807 of the family's 1533-position model. The record is from RNAcentral.